RNAcentral lists this long non-coding RNA (2642 nucleotides) under Homo sapiens (human). RNAcentral's name for it is "HSALNT0029275". The record is from RNAcentral. Lineage: Eukaryota; Metazoa; Chordata; Mammalia; Primates; Hominidae.
GUCAGGGGGAAGACAGAGGGAGAUUUUUUAACACGGAACCACAAGGAAGGAGAGGCCCCCGGAGAGGACGGACGUCAGAGGCCAGAGGGCGGCUUCCUGGGGUGCUGUGAGAGACUUGUCACCUGCUGGGUGGGGCAGUCUCUGCUGGUGUCUCACGAGGUCUCGGGCUUGGCACCUGAGGCAUGCAAAGUCACGUUUGCCAUGGCGGGCACAAUAAUAGUGGCAAGAAUAAUAAUAUCGAUAACGCAUCCUGACCAUGUGUCUCUGUAGCCCUGUCACCUCCUCACCACCGUCCCAUAAGACGGGACCCUGCGAGGCAGACGCAGCCUGCACACAGAGGAGGGAGGGGAGGCUGCUGGGGCUCCGGCCUGUGCUUUCGCCUCCAGACCAUGGAGCUUCUUCACCCACAUGCUGGGUGCCGUCCAGCCUGAGGCCUGUGUGCAGGGUCCCGGUUUCAAGCCCCGAUUCCCACCUGCUAACUGUGACCCAGGAAGCCCCACCCCCCGCAGCCCUCAGUUUCUUCACCUGCCAAACUCCCUGCCUUCGAGGUGAGAGAUUACGUAAGUAAGACCCUGCGGAAGCCUGUGGUCCUGGAGAGCCUGAGAGCCCUCAGAGCGAUACCUUCAGCUAUCCCAGGAGAAGGACACUCUUCGCUUUCAGCACCAGGGGAAAACUAGGAAAAAGCCAAGCCACUGAGUCAAUGAGGGCCUUCCCUCAGCUGCAGACAGCAAGCCCCUUCCAGGCGCUUCCCCGCAGCUACGGCAGCAAGUGCCCCAGGGGCAGGGCCGGGAAUGCUCACUGAGAAAUCCCAGAGCUGCCUGCACUUCCUCUCACCGGCUUCCCCUUCUCUCAGCAGCCACAGGCACGGGAAAGCUGCUGAUUCCCGGAGGACCACUUACACCAAGCACUGUGAGCUGAUCGAUGGCAGAGUCUCUCCAGCUCAUGAGUCUUCAGUGACUCCCCAUUGUCCAUGGAAAACAGAAGACACCUGAGGCCUUGCACAGUGGACCUUAUUCUCAUCCCUCCCUCAGGAGAAUCCUCUGCCUCGAGCCGAAGGCCGUGGGCUCUGCAGACUCCAGGCCUCUCCUUCCCAGGGCGGUCUUCCCUUUCCCUAUGCUCAAGGCACAGCCCAAGUCCCACCUCCUCCAUUGCAAGGGACACCACCCUCUGAAUUCCUGUUGGGGAAAGAGCCUAGUUUUGCAGCCAGAUAGGCCCGAGUUAGAGUCUCAGCUCAGUUCCAAUCCCAUUAGCUGGUUGCAAGUCAUUAACUUUGUCAACCUUCAGUAAAUGGAAAUCAGGCCCACACUGUAGGUGCCUGGGGGUGCUGAUGGUUGAGUGGAAUCUGUUCUUUUGACCUUCCCAGCAUCUUUCCCCUUCCCAGCAUCCUUUCCCCUUUCUUUUGGUGAUGUCGCCUGGAUUUUCUGUUGGGUAUGUGGUCCAGGGGUGGCUGACCUCACUUCCUGGUUCCAGCAUAAGAUCAUGACUGAGAGCUGGCCAAUGAGAAUAUUCCCUCGCCCCAGCCACAGAGUCAGAUUCCCGGGGAUGAACUUGUGAGUCAAAACAGGCUGGUGGGAACACACUUGGGGUGUUAGCUGGAGUUAUUGAAGCUUUCUUUCCCACUGGAGUCACUAGGUAGAUAGAAGGAAAGCUGAAGCCUUUAGCCACUGCUGUGGGUUGAAGUGUGUACCCCAAAAAGAUAUGUUCAAAUUCUAAUCCCCUGCACCUUUGGAGGUGGCCUUGUUUGGAAAAAGGGUCUUUGCAGAUGUAGGCAAGUGAAGAUGAAGCCAUCCUGGAUCAGGGUGGCUUGUGGCUUGUGUCCAAUGCCUUGUGUCCUUCUAAGAAGAGAGAAAUCGAGACACAGACACACACAGGGAAAAGGCCGAGUGAUGACAGCAGCAGAGAUGGGAGCGCGGCAGCUACAAGCUGAGGGAUGCCAAGCAUGGCUGGCACCACCCAGGAGCCUGGAGAGAGGGAGGGGACAGCCUCCUCCUUAGAGCCUCGAAACACCCUACCCACAUCCUGGCUUCAGACUUCCAGCCUGCACAACUGGGAGAGAAUCACUUUCUGCUGUGUUAAGCUACACUAGUUCAUGGUGAUUUGUUACAGCAGCUGCAGGAAAUGAACACAGACACCAAAUGGAGAUACUGUGUCUGAGAUUGAAGCCAGCACCGUGGAAUCAGAGCUGCCAGGAGGGAGACGUGGACUCUCGACCCUGUGGCCACACUUGGUUCCCCCAGCAGCUGAAGCACGAAGUCUACUGGACUUACUAGACUUUCCAGUUACCUGGACCAAUAUAUUCUCUGUUUUACUUAAGCUGUUUCGAUUGGAUUUCUGGCUAUUUCAACUGAGAGAGGCCUAACUCUCAGUUAUACAGAGACAAUGGAUGUAAAAUGCAUUGAAGGCCAGGCACAGUGGCUCGCGCCUGUAAUCCCAACACUUUGGAAAGCCAAGGCAGGAGGAUGGCUUGAGCCCAGGAGUACGAGACCAGCCUGGGAGACGUGGCAAAACGAAACCCCGUUUCUACAAAAAAAUACAUUAAACCAUUUUAAAAAGAAAAUAUAAAAUGUAUUGCAUGCUGCCUGGCCAAUGGGAGACAGUGGAGUGAAUGUAGGAAGUAGUUAGUAGAGUAAAUGGUAUUUAUU